UCCUCCUUGGCGCAAUUGGCUAGCGCGUUCGACUGUUACAGCUGCAUCACCUGCGGGCUCUGCAAUCGAGAGGUUCACAGUUCAAGCCUGUGAGGGGGAA
This 100-nucleotide transfer RNA is filed under the name Cercospora zeae-maydis SCOH1-5. Its description in RNAcentral is "tRNA-Asn". The record is from RNAcentral. Lineage: Eukaryota; Fungi; Ascomycota; Dothideomycetes; Mycosphaerellales; Mycosphaerellaceae.